Molecule: non-coding RNA, 52 nt
Filed under: unclassified sequences
Description: Li+-I sequence
Rfam family: nhaA-I RNA
About the family: Acidobacteria, Alphaproteobacteria, Betaproteobacteria and Gammaproteobacteria, Verrucomicrobia, cand. division NC10. Downstream gene
Source: Rfam by way of RNAcentral
GGGUGUUCGCUGCGUGGUGCAGCGGCAGGUUAGCGAUGGUCGGGCCGCCACG